AUCUGAUCCUGAAUCAGAAGACAAAGACUGCACCUCAAAUGCCAAGGACACUUCAUCCUGCAAGAUGAAUCAUCUUCAUUUAUAUCUAUUCUGUAUGUUUUGUGAGUGUAUGUUUUGCAGUGAGGGAAUUAUUACAUUAUAUUAGUGUUUAAGCAAAGUGUGCUGCACACGUUCUGAAAAGUGAAGCCAAAACAUGAAAGUUUAACCUCUCUUUCCUAAUGUUAGGAUCAGAAGGAAGGCAAUGCAAAGACUGUGUUUUUCUACUGCUAAUGAGGCAGUAAUGUUGAAGUAGGCAUUGAUCUUCUUCUGCAGAGGCAGUCUUUUGGCACACUAUGACAUCAUAAUUUGACAUUGUUUUAGCAGCUUGGCUUCAAUAUGAGCAGUUUUUAGACUUAUGUGAAAGUUUUACGUUCUCACACGUAAAGGAUGUUUUUAUAGUACAAUAACCUCUUAUAUAUCAAAAGAUCAAGGAAAAUUUGGUUGCUCUAAUUCAUGAUCCCUUUAAAGACCACAAAAAAACUAACUUACAUCGACUACUGGUUGACCUACUGCUGUUGUAACAUCCAAGUGAUGCUGUAGCUGGUGAUUCAGCUCUGGAUGCGCACUUGAUCUGUCUCCCCUCCUCUCUUCCUCAUCGCUACAUGUGCCACAGCCUCACGUGCACUCAGCCACAGACGAGUGGGUCUGCUGCCUCAAUGAAACACGUUUUGAGUUGCUAAAAAUAUCCCUCACACAGGAGGAAGGGAGAAAUAGAAACCAGAGGGAUAUUUUUACUCUCUUUGACUGACUAUGAAUCGUGACUUCUUUGGCCCACUGGUUCUUUGAGCUUUUCAUUAUUUAUCUAUUUGUUUGUAUCUCACAUCAGGUUUAUUCACAGGAAAUUGUACCAUAAGGGGCGGGUGAGGAGAUUUGCAUGCUAAAUAGUGGCAUAGGCACCUACAUUCUACCUCUUCCUCUGCACGCUUUCUCAGAAAAUCCCACAGGCUUCACCUUUGGUCAAUUGAAGAGAGUUUCUCAGCUGAGUCACAUUUAGGUUCUCCGGCUUGUCAAGGAUGAGUCAGGUGCUAAAACUUCAGCCCAGAGCAAAACCGGAUGAGAACAUGCACAACUCCUUUGUGAGGUUUUGUGGAACUUCUUAAACUACUUUCCCAAAUAUAGGGUGAAUACAGGUGUAGUAGGACAUUAAGAACCAUCCUGUUUUGUUACAUGUAUAUCCACAUAAAGGGUCAGUUCACC
This is a long non-coding RNA of Cyprinus carpio carpio, 1236 nucleotides long. The record is from Ensembl. Lineage: Eukaryota; Metazoa; Chordata; Actinopteri; Cypriniformes; Cyprinidae.